GUUAUUUGGUGUUGUCCAGGAGCUGUUUCGCUUCUGUUUUGGUGUUGUUUGAGUGCUGUUUUGGUGCUCUUUUGGAACCGAUCUUGUAAUCGUUGUUGUUCGGACGUGCUAUAGCUCUUUGGAUGUUCAAAAUAGUACAAGGAAGUGUAGGCCGUAUCAAUUUUUGGAUGAAGAACUACCUAUUGACUAUUACAAAGAUCUAUUUUAUGAUGUGCACCAUGAUUUGGAAGCUUACAAAGUUGAAUCCGAAUCUGAUCAGACUUAUGAAGAAGGAUUGAAGGCGAAAGAGAAUUUGAAAUUGGCAACUGGAAAAAUCCAAGUGUAUGAGAGGGUGUUUGUAGGCUUGUUUUUAGUUGUCAUAAUGAAUGUUGUAACACCUUUAUCAAUGAAAUUAGCAUAUUCAUGUUUUCA
This is a long non-coding RNA of Erigeron canadensis, 411 nucleotides long. RefSeq lists it as uncharacterized. The record is from RefSeq and is a predicted model, not a curated record. The transcript is spliced from 3 exons. NCBI's taxonomy places the organism in Eukaryota, Viridiplantae, Streptophyta, Magnoliopsida, Asterales, Asteraceae.